This 136-nucleotide microRNA precursor is filed under the name Hordeum vulgare. Its description in RNAcentral is "microRNA MIR1122". It matches the Rfam family "MIR1120/MIR1122 microRNA precursor family". The record is from RNAcentral. Lineage: Eukaryota; Viridiplantae; Streptophyta; Magnoliopsida; Poales; Poaceae.
CACAUACUCUCUUCGUCUCGAAAUUCUUGUCUUACAUUUGUCUAGAUAUAAAUAUAUCUAGUUAUUUUUUAAUAUUUAGAUACGUCAUUUUUUAGAUAAACCUAAGACAAAUUUUUUGAAACGGAGGGAGUAUAUA